CCUGCAACCACCACACAGAUCGUGGGAAUGUUUCCAGCUCCCCAGAAGCCACUGCGUCCCGGGGCCCCUCCCAGGCCCGGUCUCCUCCAGCCCCACCAAAGGCGCCCCAGGCCCCGGCUUCUCCAUCCAGUGGAGGGGACUUGAAGCCCAAGGAGACGCAGCAUCGACAGGAAACCUCCCUCCUCUCCAGUCUCCAGGUCAAAAUGAGUGAGCUCCGGGAAACAGGAGCUCAGCUGCCACACCCCAGGGAGGGGUGGGACGUGGGGGACGUGACCCAUGACCUCACCUCUCCUGGCUCCAGGCAGCAGCCCUGCCCACCGCUGGAGAAUUCCAUGACUCAGGAUGACUGGCGUCAUAGAAGAGCAGGUGAGGACACAGACGUGCAGGGAGGAAAGACCACGUGAGCACACAGAGAGAAGGCGGCUGUCUGAAGGCCAAGCAGCGAGGCCUCAGGAGAAACCAAC
Molecule: long non-coding RNA, 464 nt
Filed under: Equus caballus (horse)
Lineage: Eukaryota; Metazoa; Chordata; Mammalia; Perissodactyla; Equidae
Description: lncRNA (ENSECAG00000058368.1)
Source: RNAcentral